GAUGAACGCUGGCUACAGGCUUAACACAUGCAAGUCGAGGGGAAACGACGGGGAAGCUUGCUUCCCCGGGCGUCGACCGGCGCACGGGUGAGUAACGCGUAUCCAACCUGCCUCUGACUGAGGGAUAACCCGUCGAAGGUCGGCCUAAUACCUCAUGGCAUCGUCUGCGGGCAUCCAACGACGAUUAAAGAUUUCAUCGGUCAGGGAUGGGGAUGCGUCUGAUUAGCUUGUUGGCGGGGUAACGGCCCACCGAGGCUACGAUCAGUAGGGGUUCUGAGAGGAAGGUCCCCCACAUUGGAACUGAGACACGGUCCAAACUCCUACGGGAGGCAGCAGUGAGGAAUAUUGGUCAAUGGGCGGGAGCCUGAACCAGCCAAGUAGCGUGCAGGAUGACGGCCCUAUGGGUUGUAAACUGCUUUUAUGCGGGGAUAAAGUGAGGGACGUGUCCUUCAUUGCAGGUACCGCAUGAAUAAGGACCGGCUAAUUCCGUG
This 491-nucleotide ribosomal RNA is filed under the name uncultured bacterium. RNAcentral describes it as "partial 16S ribosomal RNA". It matches the Rfam family "Bacterial small subunit ribosomal RNA", at positions 28 to 507 of the family's 1533-position model. The record is from RNAcentral.